AUUGAACGCUGGCGGCAGGCCUAACACAUGCAAGUCGAACGAGUGGCGGACGGGUGAGUAAUGUCUGGGAAACUGCCUGAUGGAGGGGGAUAACUACUGGAAACGGUAGCUAAUACCGCAUACCAUCAGAUGUGCCCAGAUGGGAUUAGCUAGUUGGUGGGGUAACGGCGCACCAAGGCGACGAUCCCUAGCUGGUUUGAGAGGAUGACAAGCCAAACUGGAACGUGGACACGGUCCAGAGUCCGACGGGAGGCAGCAGGGGGGAAGAGUGCACAAUGGGCGCAAGCGUGAUGCAGCCAUGCCGCGUGGAUGCAGAGGGCCGUCGGGUUGUAAAGUACUUUCAGCGUGGAGGCGUUACCCGCAGAAGAAGCACCGGCUAACUCCGUGCCAGCAGCCGCGGUAAUUC
Molecule: ribosomal RNA, 406 nt
Filed under: uncultured bacterium
Lineage: Bacteria
Description: partial 16S ribosomal RNA
Rfam family: Bacterial small subunit ribosomal RNA
Source: RNAcentral